Molecule: unclassified non-coding RNA, 3364 nt
Filed under: Leishmania donovani
Lineage: Eukaryota; Euglenozoa; Kinetoplastea; Trypanosomatida; Trypanosomatidae
Description: gene:LdHU3.35.4290(CDS-product:EF-hand_domain_pai r_putative)
Source: RNAcentral
GUUCCUGCCGAAUUUUUUUUUGUUGUUACUCCGUCGCUCCUUGUUGGUACCGUCCGACGCAGUUUGGAUGAUGCACGGUACGGCACAGAAGUACAUUUGAAGCUCUUGUUUUUCGGUCUUGUGAUCGUCCCUCAUCAUCGCGGUCACCCUCUCAAUAUAGUUGGGCACCACCGACCUGCCCCUCAUCAGCUGCAUCUCUGGUUCCUCUUGCCUGCGUGCUUUUUAGCUCGUAGCAGCCAGUUCUGGCUUUGCUGUCGCCAUCACGCGCUAACGCCGUGUGCCCCGCGCCCUUCUCUUUUCUUCCUUCGUGUGUUUUCACUUCCGCUUUAGAGAUUUUUGUGCUUGUUUCUUUUGCAUCGUUCUCUCUUCGCACCCUCUCCCUCUUCCCUCCUGUCUGAGUGGUUCUCUCCCACGUUUGCCACGUGCACGCGUCUACUGCUGCUGCGUAUACAACAGUGUCGUUGUGUACCGCCUGUUUUCUCAGUUCCCUGUGCGUGUGUGCGAGGAAAUUCUCUCUCUACGCCGUCGGUGCGAUUUUUUUGUGCUUGUUCGUGUCUAUCUGUCUGUGUGCCGUACUUUACCUUCCUUUCGGCACACGCAGUCUCCCUUCACCAUCUCUUGCCUUUGCACUCCCAUCAGAGCAGCCGGAGAAGCAUAGACAGGAGGGAAGCAAGUCUCCCUAUUCGUCGGCGACAGAGGCUGGAGAAGGACGGGGCGCAACUACACAUUUAAGCGCUCGCACACACACACACACACACACACUCCGGGUCAGAGGUGCUUGCAGACGUAUCGGAGGAGGGAGGCGAAAAGAGUGGUAAUCCACGUACACAGCGAGGGGUAGCUGCAUACUCGUUUGGGGAUUUCCGAGCUCGGAUCCCUUCUUGAGGUGCUGUUCUCCUUCGACAUUGCCGUGCGCACUUUUCUACACGACCAGUAGAAGAGGCGUUGUGCUUCGGUCGUUCUCGCUGAGCGCACUACACCUGGUGGUUGAAGUCGCCACACUUAUGCACACAGCUGCGUUCAUAUCCCGACACAAAGACGACAGUGAGAACGACAACGCCAUUCUAUCGGCUACAGCGCACAGCUGCGUCUGCGACGCGCGAGUGCCAUGAGUGCCAAGAACACCUUCGGCACACAGGCAGCCAAAGCGCUUUGUGCCAACCUUUAUACAAACUGGCUCUCCGAGGACGAAAAUGUGGAACGCAUUCGCGAUCUGCUGAAUCGCGUGCUGACGGUGUCGGUCACAGACCACAACUCGGAGAUGGGCGCCAAGAAUGCCGCCUCCAUGACCACCGUAGCUGCGGCAGCCGCGGGGGACAAGAAGGGAAAGGCCGCCGGCGCGGACACGCUCGGCAACGGCGCGCGGCACAGUGAUCCAGUCGCGGGGCUAACCACGAGCUCCGCCGCGAUGCACGGGAACGUUGACCGUGCCCAGUCGCCGCAGCCGUCUCCCCCGCAGAAGUCGAAUAAAUCCGCCGCCGCCUUGACGGCUGAUGAUCGAACGCCGAGCCCCAUCCAACCAUCGACAUCCCCCAGCCUCAUCGCGCGCUUCCCCGGCGGCGUAGACGAGCUUGAUUACCCUCACCGCGCUGGCUCGCCAGUGGUCACACCGGCCUCGCCACAGCCGAAGCCGAUUGUAGACCCCAGCGCCCCUCUUCCACACGCCGGCUCCGGCAGCCUUUCGCCGCACGGCGUCCACUCACUCGGCAGUCCUCGCCUGGACACGACACUGAACGCUGCCAUGGUGUCAGGUGACCUCACAAUUCCAUUGGACGCGAGCUCCACCCUCAGCAUGUCGGCUCGUGAGUCGACGACGCGCUUCGUGCACACUUCUGGCAGCUUCGCCGUGACGCCGCCCGCCAACCUCAAGCAGGCAACUCUAGAAGACAUCCCGCGCUUUUACUCGAAGAGGGAGUCUCGCGGGCUGCAGAUUGAGAUGGACGUGGAGGAGGCGCAGGAGCUGAGCCGCCUGCUCGAAAAGAACGACCCAGUGAAGAAGACGGUCUGGGUGUUUGGCGACAUUAGCUCGAAGGUGUUCAAGGUGCCCAUUUGGUACAAGGAGGCGCUCUUCAAGGACAUCGCUACUCGCAGCGGACUGGACGCGGCCAUCGCCGACACGCUAACAGCCGCCCAAAUCCGUACCGUGUACAACGACGUCUACGCUCCCUUGUCGGUCAGCCGCCGCCUUUACGAGCUCAUCUGCACACACCCCAAGAAGGAAUUUAUUACGCUGUCCGACUUGGAGGGGAUGGGCAAGUACCUCGUUGCUGCUCACCCGGGCCUCCAGUUCCUCCAGCAGCCGGAGUUUCAGGAGUACUACUGGCACACCGUCGCGGUGCGCAUAAUGUACAUGCUAGAACGUCAGCAGUGUGGCCGCAUCUACUGGCGCGACUUUGACCGCAGCGAUCUGCCGGAGAGGAUGAUGGAGCUGGACGCCAAGGAUGUGAACCUGGUGCUCGACUACUUCUCCUACGAGCACUUCUACGUUCUGUACUGCAAGUUCUGGGAGCUCGACACCGACCGUGACCUCCUUGUCGGCUUCGAGGAUCUGUGCAACUACGGCCAAGGCUCGGUCGUGACGGGAGUCAUCAAGCGUGUGGUGGAGGGCUACGGCCGUCCACUGUCGUCCGGCGUGCCUGGCAAGAUGGACUUUGAGGACUUUGUGUAUUUCUGCCUCUCCGAGGAGGACAAGAACUCGGAGCCGGCGGUGCUCUACUGGUUCAAGGUGCUCGACACGGACGAAGACGGCGUGCUGAGCGGGUAUGAGAUGAUGCAGUUUUUCGAGGAGAACCAGCAGCGCUUCCUCGAGUUCUCUGACUCGCCAGAGGGGGACAUAGCGUACGAGGAUACAGUGUGCCAAAUGUUGGACAUGGUCGGGUUCGAUCGCGUGAAGGUGCGCAAGUACGGCGUCACCCUUGGCGACCUCCGCUCCUGCCCCACCCCCGCAAACUUCUUCAACAUGAUCUUCAACGCGUCGAAGUUCUUGCUGUUUGAGCACCGCGAUCCGUUUGGUGAACACCAGAUGCGGCUGCGCGUAGAGAAAACCGAGUGGGACCGCUUUGCGCGAGCCGAGUACGAUCGCAUGGCAGCUGAAGCACAGUAGGAGCGACGCGCUAUCCCAGACCGGAGCCCGCGAAUAUCAUCGUGCCGAACAGGGACGGACCAUGGUGGAUGGAGAGCGCUGGCCAAUGGUGAAACCCGACAAAAUGCUCGCCUCUCAUCUUGCUGACAUGCUCUUUUGACUGCUCCUUCAGUCUCGCUGCGCCGCUUGCGACCCCUCUCACCUCCUCCAAAUGGUGUCUCUCUCUUCAUCCCUUCCACACAAGUGCAUCUUUUUGUUCCCUCUCACGCCCUCCCCUCCCAG